UCCCUAUGAUAAAACAACCCUAGGGCCCUCGGGGGGACAAAAAAUCACAAAAAACCGAGACUUACCGGCGGCGGUGCUCUCGGGUGCAACGGCUCCUCCGGCGUGAGUCGCGUUUUGAUGUUUGGCUCCGAUCAACCUGUAGAGAAAAGAACGGUGAUCACAGUGGUAUAAAAUUUGCAUCGAACGGAGGCCGGGAAGGGCCUCAUCGGAGGCAAAAACAGAGGGGAGUCGCGGCGGCACCGCUGGACUUCGGCUGGGUUUUCUGGCCGUUUGGCCGGUGGUUUGGCUCCGGUUUGGCCAUAGACGGACUUAGCAU
RNAcentral lists this long non-coding RNA (316 nucleotides) under Carica papaya (papaya). RNAcentral describes it as "long non-coding RNA (CPAP_LNC013384)". Lineage: Eukaryota; Viridiplantae; Streptophyta; Magnoliopsida; Brassicales; Caricaceae. The record is from RNAcentral.